UACGUAGGGGGCAAGCGUUGUCCGGAAUCAUUGGGCGUAAAGAGCGUGUAGGCGGUUCAGUAAGUCUGUUCUGAAAGUCCAAGGCUCAACCUUGGGAUGCGGAUGGAUACUGUUGAACUCGAGUCCGGAAGAGGAGUGUGGAAUUCCUGGUGUAGCGGUGAAAUGCGCAGAUAUCAGGAGGAACACCGAUGGCGAAGGCAGCACUCUGGGACGUGACUGACGCUGAGACGCGAAAGCGUGGGGAGCAAAC
RNAcentral lists this ribosomal RNA (250 nucleotides) under uncultured bacterium. RNAcentral describes it as "partial 16S ribosomal RNA". It matches the Rfam family "Bacterial small subunit ribosomal RNA", at positions 524 to 773 of the family's 1533-position model. The record is from RNAcentral.